UGGGGAAUAUUGCGCAAUGGGGGAAACCCUGACGCAGCAACGCCGCGUGAGUGAUGAAGGCCUUCGGGUCGUAAAGCUCUGUCGGAGGGAAAGAAACUAUUCAUGGCUAAUAUCCAUGGAUAUUGACGGUACCCUCAAAGGAAGCACCGGCUAACCACGUGCCAGCAGCCGCGGUAAUACGUGGGGUGCAAGCGUUGUUCGGAAUUACUGGGCGUAAAGCGCGUGUAGGUGGCUAAUUAUGUCAGGUGUGAAAGCCCUCGGCCUAACCGAGGAAGUGCGCCUGAAACUGAUUGGCUUGAGUACGAGAGAGGAGGACGGAAUUCCCAGUGUAGAGGUGAAAUUCGUAGAUAUUGGGAGGAACACCGGCGGCGAAAGCGGUUCUCUGGAUCGAUACUGACACUAAGACGCGAAAGCGUGGGUAGCAAACAGGAUUAGAUACCCCCGUAGUCC
RNAcentral lists this ribosomal RNA (450 nucleotides) under uncultured bacterium. Its description in RNAcentral is "bacterial SSU rRNA". It matches the Rfam family "Bacterial small subunit ribosomal RNA", at positions 355 to 796 of the family's 1533-position model. The record is from RNAcentral.